This 424-nucleotide ribosomal RNA is filed under the name Spinomantis peraccae. RNAcentral describes it as "partial 16S ribosomal RNA". It matches the Rfam family "Bacterial large subunit ribosomal RNA", at positions 2006 to 2597 of the family's 2925-position model. Lineage: Eukaryota; Metazoa; Chordata; Amphibia; Anura; Mantellidae. The record is from RNAcentral.
GAGGGUCCUACUGUCUCCUCUCUCCAAUCAAUGAAACUGAUCUCUCCGUGAAGAAGCGGGGAUUUAACUAUAAGACGAGAAGACCCCAUGGAGCUUUAAACCCGACUACACCUCCACCUCUUAUACCCACAUAAUCAACGGAGUACUGUACAUCGGUUUUGGGUUGGGGUGACCACGGAGCACAAACUAACCUCCAUGAUGAAUAAGACUAACCCUUUAUCUAAGAGACACACCUCUAAGAAUUAGCACACUAACAUAAAAUGAUCCGAUAUUCGAUCAACGAACCAAGUUACCCUGGGGAUAACAGCGCAAUCCACUUCAAGAGCCCCUAUCCACAAGUGGGUUUACGACCUCGAUGUUGGAUCAGGGUAUCCUAGUGGUGCAGCAGCUACUAAAGGUUCGUUUGUUCAACGAUUAAAACCCU